AUUCGUUCUCGUUAGAUCACCGAAGUCAAGCAUCAUUGGGCGCGGUCAGUACUUGCGUGGGGACCACCUGGGAACACCGCGUGCCGUU
This 88-nucleotide ribosomal RNA is filed under the name Caerostris darwini. Lineage: Eukaryota; Metazoa; Arthropoda; Arachnida; Araneae; Araneidae. The record is from RNAcentral.